GGGUUGUGAGGUUAAGCGACUAAGCGUACACGGUGGAUGCCCUGGCAGUCAGAGGCGAUGAAGGACGUGCUAAUCUGCGAUAAGCGUCGGUAAGGUGAUAUGAACCGUUAUAACCGGCGAUUUCCGAAUGGGGAAACCCAGUGUGAUUCGUCACACUAUCAUUAACUGAAUCCAUAGGUUAAUGAGGCGAACCGGGGGAACUGAAACAUCUAAGUACCCCGAGGAAAAGAAAUCAACCGAGAUUCCCCCAGUAGCGGCGAGCGAACGGGGAGCAGCCCAGAGCCUGAAUCAGUGUGUGUGUUAGUGGAAGCGUCUGGAAAGGCGCGCGAUACAGGGUGACAGCCCCGUACACAAAAAUGCACAUACUGUGAGCUCGAUGAGUAGGGCGGGACACGUGGUAUCCUGUCUGAAUAUGGGGGGACCAUCCUCCAAGGCUAAAUACUCCUGACUGACCGAUAGUGAACCAGUACCGUGAGGGAAAGGCGAAAAGAACCCCGGCGAGGGGAGUGAAAAAGAACCUGAAACCGUGUACGUACAAGCAGUGGGAGCCUCUU
RNAcentral lists this ribosomal RNA (554 nucleotides) under Escherichia coli. Its description in RNAcentral is "partial 23S ribosomal RNA". It matches the Rfam family "Bacterial large subunit ribosomal RNA", at positions 1 to 585 of the family's 2925-position model. The record is from RNAcentral. Lineage: Bacteria; Pseudomonadati; Pseudomonadota; Gammaproteobacteria; Enterobacterales; Enterobacteriaceae.